This 700-nucleotide ribosomal RNA is filed under the name Streptomyces sp. L1744. RNAcentral's name for it is "bacterial SSU rRNA". It matches the Rfam family "Bacterial small subunit ribosomal RNA", at positions 24 to 744 of the family's 1533-position model. The record is from RNAcentral. Lineage: Bacteria; Bacillati; Actinomycetota; Actinomycetes; Kitasatosporales; Streptomycetaceae.
UCAGGACGAACGCUGGCGGCGUGCUUAACACAUGCAAGUCGAACGGUGAAGCCUUCGGGUGGAUCAGUGGCGAACGGGUGAGUAACACGUGGGCAAUCUGCCCUGCACUCUGGGACAAGCCCUGGAAACGGGGUCUAAUACCGGAUAAUACCUUCUCCUGCAUGGGGGUGGGUUGAAAGCUCCGGCGGUGCAGGAUGAGCCCGCGGCCUAUCAGCUUGUUGGUGGGGUAAUGGCCUACCAAGGCGACGACGGGUAGCCGGCCUGAGAGGGCGACCGGCCACACUGGGACUGAGACACGGCCCAGACUCCUACGGGAGGCAGCAGUGGGGAAUAUUGCACAAUGGGCGAAAGCCUGAUGCAGCGACGCCGCGUGAGGGAUGACGGCCUUCGGGUUGUAAACCUCUUUCAGCAGGGAAGAAGCGCAAGUGACGGUACCUGCAGAAGAAGCACCGGCUAACUACGUGCCAGCAGCCGCGGUAAUACGUAGGGUGCGAGCGUUGUCCGGAAUUAUUGGGCGUAAAGAGCUCGUAGGCGGUCUGUCGCGUCGGAUGUGAAAGCCCGGGGCUUAACCCCGGGUCUGCAUUCGAUACGGGCAGACUAGAGUGUGGUAGGGGAGAUCGGAAUUCCUGGUGUAGCGGUGAAAUGCGCAGAUAUCAGGAGGAACACCGGUGGCGAAGGCGGAUCUCUGGGCCAUACUGAC